Long non-coding RNA from Hemicordylus capensis (graceful crag lizard), 330 nucleotides. RefSeq lists it as uncharacterized. The record is from RefSeq and is a predicted model, not a curated record. NCBI's taxonomy places the organism in Eukaryota, Metazoa, Chordata, Lepidosauria, Squamata, Cordylidae. The transcript is spliced from 2 exons.
CAGGAGGGCCCUGAGGAAGCUUCCGGCUGGGGAGAUGGAAAGACUGCAGCCUGUGACAAGUUAGGACCAAUCCUGCCUAAGCAUGAAGAAACAGGUUAAACUACCUCAGACACCUGUAGAGUAAGAAUCUGAACAAGAAUCUGCGAGAGUAAAGACCUAUAAGGACUCUGUGGGAACCAUAAGGAUUGCCUUCAUAUUUAUUCCUUCAUUACACAGCAAUCUAUAUGCAUAAAGGAACUGUUGACAUAUUUGACUUUCAAGCAACAUCAUUUGGGACUUAUGGAAUAGAAAUUAUCUCUCUCACAAUUCUUUAAAAUUUUGUGUGUUUCA